Molecule: ribosomal RNA, 497 nt
Filed under: uncultured bacterium
Lineage: Bacteria
Description: partial 16S ribosomal RNA
Rfam family: Bacterial small subunit ribosomal RNA
Source: RNAcentral
GAUGAACGCUGGCGGCGUGCCUAAUACAUGCAAGUCGAGCGAACGGACGAGAAGCUUGCUUCUCUGAUGUUAGCGGCGGACGGGUGAGUAACACGUGGAUAACCUACCUAUAAGACUAGGAUAACUUCGGGAAACCGGAGCUAAUACCGGAUGAUAUUUUGAACCGCAUGGUUCAAAAGUGAAAGACGGUCUUGCUGUCACUUAUAGAUGGAUCCGCGCUGCAUUAGCUAGUUGGUAAGGUAACGGCUUACCAAGGCAACGAUGCAUAGCCGACCUGAGAGGGUGAUCGGCCACACUGGAACUGAGACACGGUCCAAACUCCUACGGGAGGCAGCAGUAGGGAAUCUUCCGCAAUGGGCGAAAGCCUGACGGAGCAACGCCGCGUGAGUGAUGAAGGUCUUCGGAUCGUAAAACUCUGUUAUUAGGGAAGAACAUAUGUGUAAGUAACUGUGCACAUCUUGACGGUACCUAAUCAGAAAGCCACGGCUAACUACGUG